This 964-nucleotide long non-coding RNA is filed under the name Homo sapiens (human). RNAcentral's name for it is "HSALNT0363177". The record is from RNAcentral. Lineage: Eukaryota; Metazoa; Chordata; Mammalia; Primates; Hominidae.
GCUCUUCCUCCGCCCCCCGACCACACCCCCUUAAAGGGCCAGCCCCUCUACAGGCCCCUCUCCCCUACUCCGCCCCCGGGCAGGGGUAGGGGAGGGUCUAUUCGGCAGGGGGUGGCCUAGCUGUCCGUACUCCCCAAACGCAACCUUCCAGUCCCAAACCCAGGCGUUCUAAGCGCUCAGGACGACGAUUUGCGCUCACGCCAGGACCCUAGUCUUCAUUGGACCCUUCCUCAUUCUGUCCUCAUUGAGGCCAUCUGAGAAUAGGGGCUAUCUGAGAAUGCAGGGGAGUGGACAUCGUGUGCAGACAGGGAGUCUGGUGAGGAGACGCUGCGGUCCCCGAUGUCCAGGUCCUCCAGCCCUCGGCCAGCGAGGAGCGAACGGGCUCCUCCGCACGGACCGACACGUGGACUGGGCUCCUGGGAAAGGAAGAGUGGAGAAGGCGGGCAGGAGCUGUCCGGGUCCCUAGACUCUCCGAGUAGCAGGUCCCACGCCCCCAGCGGAAGAAGCCGGGGCUGGGGGUGAGCGGUGGCACCCGGCCGGCCCAAACGGCCAACCCCGGGCAGCCACCGCCCACCGGCAAGAUGGCGCGAGGCUCGGGCUUGUGGGAAACGGAGUCCGCUCCCGGCGCCGCCCCUCCCCCGCCCUGCGGCCAGGCCGGGAAGCGCAAAGUUGUUUGGGGCGUCCUCUGCGCCUCGCGACCCGAAUUGUGAGUGCCACGGGGCUGAGGCCUGCGCCGACCUGGUCUGCUGGUGCUACCAGGCUUGAACAGUCUUCAAAUCCACUGCUAUUAGGCAAAUUACCUGGCUCCCGCUGAACUCCAGCACCUAGAACUAUGUCACACUCGUAGUAGGCCGCUGCAUUGGUUGAACAAAUGAUUUUGAAAGAAUGAAUGUCUUCCUCUGUGCCUGCAUUUCCUCAGAAGGCUGUAACAAAGAUUAAAUAGGAAAAUUCGUGGAAAGUUCAA